CGUAACUGACCAACCAAGAGCUGCUUGGUUCAUGGGUAGCAGUUCCAAGGUGGAUGGAUAACAUACUAUUUGGAAGUCCACUGCUCUGACUGAGGAAGACUACUACGAAAUAUUGAAUACUGUAUAGCACAGGAAACUAUGGCAGAGAAUAACUGUAGUGACUAAGCUUCCAGGCACAGCACGGACGUCCUGAAAAGCAGCAAUCCUGAAGGUACGAGCAGUCUCCCCUACAAUGCCGGUGAUCACACGAGAAAAACUCCCCUUCCUCUCCAAACUACUGUCACGCUCCCGAGCGUGUCAACCUGGAUAUCCCAUCCUUCUCAACUCAAAUCUAAACUGCCGUCACUGUCAUGCCCACCGAGACCUCUUCCAUUUCCCUGACUAGUGCUAUUGGCUGAGGAAACGCUGUCUUCUCUCUCCUUCCUCCUGUCCUUCCACCAGCAGGAGGAAAAGUUGUGGUCUCCACUGUUCGCACUCAAGGACAAUUGCUGAAGAAUGCUCUCCUUCUCCUCACCCUCUCCAUGUGGUUGGGGAAGUAAGACAGACUCGACCAAUCCCAUAUGGAAGCUACUUAGACUUAAAAAAGGCUUAAGAAUGGUGGUUCCAAGACAUUUAGAUUUCAUGUAGCAGAAAAAAAAUCAAAAUAGCACCUGAGGAGCUGACACAGGUAUGCCAAUUUGUAUUUUACCAAAGAAAGACCAUCCACUACCACCAGUCACUUCACAGAAGGACAUUUUAACCCAUUUCACACAUAACCCUUGGUUUUAGAACUUGAUAGGUUAAUCUCAGAAUAAGGACAAAUCAUGUUCACACAGGUUAUUUUUCCAUUUUGGUAUAAAACAUGCUAAUUUCCCUCAUGUAGCAUGAACUGAUGCAAAGUUUAUCACAAACAGCUAGGUCUAUACUGGCUUUACUAUUAGGAGGCAAACACCAAUGGUCUUUUCUUGACUCAGUUAUAAGCAUGUAUUUUCCUGACUAUCUUCUGUCCAUUUAUUUUUCAUGGGAACACCACAGAGAGAAGUAGCCAAAGCAAACGAUCAAGUGUUUGUUUUGGGUCAUGGGUUUGCUGUUUGUUCUCAUGUCCUUCCUCUAGUCCCCUUCUGUAUCUUAAUAUUACAGCCUUUUCACCCUCUCCUCCUUAAGCCAUACUGGAAACCAUCCACAGACUUCCUAAUACCAAUUACUAUUCCUAAUCUUCCUUAUUUGCUAGUCUUCUGCUCAAAAAAAGGUAGGAAAAAUAGCACAUCUAGGUAUGAUGGAGCAGUUGAUGGCAGACCAGUGCUCCCAAUGAAAAGCUGGAUGAGUACACAAGUCAUAUCUAAUGGCAUCCAAGAGCUGUAGAAGCAAGGAAGAGAAAAUGGAGUAACAUUCUGGACAGGGACAACCUUUCAAAGGUAUGCUGAAGAUUUUCAGCUGACCCUGAGCACAACCCAGCCUGGACUCAGGUCAGUCUAUCUAAAGUGCACCAAACUACCCCUUCCACACACCUCACUACUCUGUUUAUUAGAGGGAAGAGUGAACCUUCUCAAAAUUACCUCAAGGCUCUCGAGUUUCUUAUAAACAAUGCCUGGCCUUCAAAGAUUAUGAGGCAUCCACAAAGACAGCACCUUAUCGUCACACCAAAAGGAGGCUAAAAGAGGCCCACACACUGGAUUCAGUAGACAAAGAUCUUAAAAUAAAUAUGACUCAUAUUCAAGGAAAGAGAGAGGUAAAGAUAGUCGAAGUAGAAAAUACAGGUAUUCAAUAGUAAAUUAAAUCUACUUUUUAAAAAAAAUCAAUGUAUGGGCUACACAGCAGAAGAAUCAGAGUGAGGAAGUAGGGGAAAGAGAGGACUGACCAAAUGAGAACUCUGAGGCACAGUCAGAAGGUGAACAAGCAUGUAAUUAUAGUCCUAGAAAGAGAAGAGAGAAAAUGGGCCAGAAGCCAAUUCUGAAGAUCCAAUGGCCAAGGACUUUCCAAAACUGAUGAAAGACAUAAAAUCCAAUGAAAGAAAGAAUCAAGCUCAGGGAAUCCACAAAAAUUCAAUACCUAAGCAAACACACACCCCUGUACCUACCAUACAAAACUGCAAAAAUAAAAUGACAGAAAAAAUCCUAAAUGCAGCUAAACAAUACAUUCUUUUCACAGAAACAAGCUGGAUAGCUGAUGUAACAGAAAUGAUGGAAGCCAGAAAACAGUACAACAGCAUCUUUAAAGUACUGAAAGAAAAGAUCUGCCAAUCCGGACUUCUACAUCCAGAAAAAAACACCCUGUGAAAAUAAAGGUGCUUUAAAGGCACUUUCAGACAAAAGCUGAGAGAACUCCUGGCUAAAGUCUUCCAUCACAAUGUAUAUAGUACCAAAGGAUGCUCUUUAGGCAGAAUGACAAUGAUCCCAGACAGAAAAACCAAAAAUGCAGGCAAGAAUUCAGAGAAUAAAUAUAAGUGAAUAGAGUGUACAGAACUAUACUAAUAUCUUAGGAGUUUAAAAUAUAUACACAAUUAAGAUACUUAAUACUGCAAAAGAUGAAGGGGGUAAAUGGUAUUGAAAGUAGUUCAGUAUUAUCAAAGUCAUAAUUUUUAUUAAAACAUAAUACGUGGAAAAAGGCACAACGGAAUCUCUAAGGUAGCCCUUAAAUGAAUAUUUCAGUUUCCCCCUCUGUUAACCUUUUAAUAUUCAUCAUCACUGGAUGGUUGCUUGGUGCUUACAUAGAAAGUUCAAACUUCCCAACCUAGCAAUCAAAGCUCUUCCAGCUACUUUCUGAUUUCCUAUCCAACAGUGUUCAGCCAAGCUGAUAAAAUCACUGACCCCUGAAUACAUCUUAAUCAUCGUCACACUUCUCCUCCAUGCAGAAUGUCCUAGCUAUUCUUUUCUACUUAACCAAAUAAUUCAGCUCAAGUCCCAAUCAUUCACGGAUCUUACCUGACACCAUCUCCACAUCAAGUUAAUUCCAUUGAAAAUGUACAUAGCAUUUUAUGUACAGCCCACGUGCAGCAACGAAGACCCAAUGCAGCCAAGAAUUUAAAAAAUAAAAAAAUAUGUUCCUCUACUGACAGGUGUUUGGUGAUACCUAUCAGUGUGAAAAGAUAUUUAAAAAAAAAAAAGAUGAAUUAUGUUGCUGGAGGGUUUUUCCAAACUAGAUGAGGUAGUGUUCAACAGAACUCAAACCUAGUGACUGCCUCCAGGCCCUCUUGCCAUACCUUCCAUUACUCUGAAUGACUGUGUAAAUGAUUGUCACUGGAGGUCAACAUCCAAGCCAAUAACUAAAUCACUGUAUCAUAUGUAAUUGAUUAUUAACACAAUCUUAGCAUGCAGGGAACACAAUGUCCAUUUUAUAAUUAAAAAGGAGAAACGAGCAGAAAGGUGAGCUGAGCUACACAGGUCACACAGCUAGUUAGAUGACAGAGCUAGACCAGAACGUAAUUUUCUCUCUGGGUCUAAAAUAGGAUACAUUUUUUUACUAGAUGUUCAGUGUAAGCAAUCAUAUUUUGCUCCUAAGAGAAACAUAAUAAGCCUCUUACUGAACCAUUAUACGCCAACAAACUGGACAACCUAGAAGAAAUGCAUAAAUUCCUAAAAACACACAACCUGAAUCAAAAGAAACAGAAAAUCUUAACAAAUGGAUUACUUGUAAGGAGACCGAAUCAGUAAUCAAAAACCUCCCAACACACAAAAGUCCAGAA
This is a long non-coding RNA of Aethalodelphis obliquidens (Pacific white-sided dolphin), 3661 nucleotides long. RefSeq lists it as uncharacterized. Lineage: Eukaryota; Metazoa; Chordata; Mammalia; Artiodactyla; Delphinidae. The transcript has 3 exons. The record is from RefSeq and is a predicted model, not a curated record.